RNAcentral lists this ribosomal RNA (1462 nucleotides) under Streptomyces sp. D48. Its description in RNAcentral is "bacterial SSU rRNA". It matches the Rfam family "Bacterial small subunit ribosomal RNA". Lineage: Bacteria; Bacillati; Actinomycetota; Actinomycetes; Kitasatosporales; Streptomycetaceae. The record is from RNAcentral.
CCCAUUGGGGUGCUUACCAUGCAGUCGUACCAUGGAUCACCUUCGGUGGGGAUUAGUGGCGAACGGGUGAGUAACACGUGGGCAAUCUGCCCUGCACUCUGGGACAAGCCCUGGAAACGGGGUCUAAUACCGGAUACUGACCCGCUUGGGCAUCUUGGAGGAUCGAAAGCUCCGGCGGUGCAGGAUGAGCCCGCGGCCCUUAAUACAGCUAUGUGUGGUGAGGUAAUGGCUCACCAAGGCGACGACGGGUAGCCGGCCUGAGAGGGCGACCGGCCACACUGGGACUGGAAACACGGCCCAGACUCCUACGGGAGGCAGCAGUGGGCAAUAUGGCACAAUGGGCGAAAGCCUGAUGCAGCGACGCCGCGUGAGGGAUGACGGCCUUCGGGUUGUAAACCUCUUUCAGCAGGGAAGAAGCGAAAGUGACGGUACCUGCAGAAGAAGCGCCGGCUAACUACGUGCCAGCAGCCGCGGUAAUACGUAGGGCGCGAGCGUUGUCCGGAAUUAUUGGGCGUAAAGAGCUCGUAGGCGGCUUGUCACGUCGGUUGUGAAAGCCCGGGGCUUAACCCCGGGUCUGCAGUCGAUACGGGCAGGCUAGAGUUCGGUAGGGGAGAUCGGAAUUCCUGGUGUAGCGGUGAAAUGCGCAGAUAUCAGGAGGAACACCGGUGGCGAAGGCGGAUCUCUGGGCCGAUACUGACGCUGAGGAGCGAAAGCGUGGGGAGCGAACAGGAUUAGAUACCCUGGUAGUCCACGCCGUAAACGGUGGGCACUAGGUGUGGGCGACAUUCCACGUCGUCCGUGCCGCAGCUAACGCAUUAAGUGCCCCGCCUGGGGAGUACCGGCCGCAAGGCUAAAACUCAAAGGAAUUUGACCGGGGGCCCGCACAAGCGGGCGGGAGCAUGUGGUCUUUAAUUCGACGCAACGCGAAGAAUCCUUUACCAAGGCUUGACAUACACCGGAAAGCAUCAGAGAUGGUGCCCCCCCUUGGUGGUCGGUGUACAGGUGGUGCAUGGCUGUCGUCAGCUCGUGUCGUGAGAUGUUGGGGUUAAGUCCCGCAACGAGCGCAACCCUUGUCCCGUGUUGCCAGCAGGCCCUUGUGGUGCUGGGGACUCACGGGAGACCGCCGGGGUCAACUCGGAGGAAGGUGGGGACGACGUUCAAGUCAUCAUGCCCCUUAUGUCUUGGGCUGCACAACGUGCUCACAAUGGCCGCGGAUCAAUGAGCUGCGAUACCGCGAGGUGGAGCGAAUCUCAAAAAGCCGGUCUCAGUUCGGAUUGGGGUCUGCAACUCGACCCCAUGAAGUCGGAGUCGCUAGUAAUCGCAGAUCAGCAUUGCUGCGGUGAAUACGUUCCCGGGCCUUGUACACACCGCCCGUCACGUCACGAAAGUCGGUAACACCCGAAGCCGGUGGCACGCUGACUCGCCCUGUGGCUACGAGGGCGAACGACUGCGACGAUGCCCC